UUGGGGGGCUGCGAUGCGCCUUGGUGACCGCGAACACGUACAGAGCGUUUGAGUGCUGGGGUUCUUACUGUACGAGGUGAAGGGUACUGUUAUGUAUACGUGCAAUGUGUCGCAGUGGUGCUAGGCGUAUAAGUAUUCGUUUUAUGCGAUAUGCAUAUGCUCUGAAGUGAACCGUGCAUACAGAACGGUUUGUACAGAACAUUAGACCCAAAAUUCAAGGAUGCCAAAACCAAAAUUCAAGGAGGCGGAAACAAACCGUACUUGUACACAUACAUUGAAAAAUAAUGAAACCUCCUUCUCCUUGGCCGAACUUUCUUGUAGCUAAGCAGCUGCUGAGUUGGGCACACACUACAAGCUCUUUAGGGUGCUUUUUAUGCAUGUGCUCUGAAUUAAACAGUGCAGAAGCACUGCUGGUCGUUUGUGCUCUUUGCAUCUCAGUAUGGGUUUUGUAUCAAACCAGCUUUCCUUGCUUUGUACACGUGUUGUUUGUUUCCAGUGUUGUCACUGCACAUUUUACUCUUCACGAAGAGGGGAGGCUAGGGAACAGCUUAAAAGUUAUAUCACUGCUCCACAUAUUGCAAUUAUUAAUUUUGUGCUAGGUGUCAUGUGCUGUAAUGUAAACAAUGCAAAUGUGCCGCAUGCUAUUUUUUGCGGAUGUGACGACACUGCAACGCAGCUUCUCUGCCACUGCCCAACCUUUCAUGCUGAACGAUGUGCUUUGCCAGUUAUACUCCAUCUCAGUAGUUCCUUGCAGCACUGGGGCAGCGGCAGGGCUCUUAGCCAAUAGGAAGGCUGAAUUCCCCUCAAGAUGUGUUCAUCCAUGCUGCGUCAGCUGCUCAGCGUCUGCUUGCCAUCCUUUUGAUACAUCAGCCACUGUUGGAGCAGUGACGCAACAAAUGUUCCUACGUUGUAACUAAAGGCUGCGUAUUCCAUGAAUGCUACUGUUGGGCUUCGCUUCAUCGACACGCUAUCUGAGCAGUUCAAUACAGCCUCCUGAGCCAGUUUUAGUAAAAGUGAACACCCUGAUAAAUGUUCACAUGCACCGCGCCAUCUGCUCAGCGUGUAUUUGACGUUUGCUCACCGCUGUCAUCACGUACCGUACUAGAGCAGAGUAGGAAUUAAUGAUGCAGUGAACAAUGACGCCUUCGUAGCGUUCUGCAUCGUCAAUGCAUCACCAUUGCUACUGCUGUGGUGUCACCUGCUAAAUAGAAACCGAACCACUUUUACUGCCUGUGUAGUCCUAGCAGUGUCAAAACAAACAGCUGAUCUCAAUAAGAACAACAAGAAAUACCUAAUGCUUUGUCCUCAGCAUGAGAUGAGACUACGCAGUGAUGGAUUUUACCAUUUAUUUAUUGCUGUCAGGGCGUACAGCUAGUAAAAGGGCAAAUUGAGAUUGAAGCGGGUGGUCUGGGCUGCAUAGGUGGUGCCAUGUUGCUGCGUAAUCAUGGUUAGGGUGGCUACUGAUGUUACCAGUGCUAACCGCCACAGUAAUUCAUCGUACAAGACGGGCAUGCGAGAAGGGCCUAACAUCUGUAAAUCUUUUGUGAACGUCACCAUGUAGCCUGCACCAAAGGACAACAAAGCUAGGCAACAUGAGAGACGUAAGGCGUGGAAUUGACGAGGGAACAAUGUUUAGCUUCAUGCACCUUCGCAACGAUCCAUCUCCUUACAUUAAUUAUCUGCCAUCAUGUCAACAAACUCAUUGAAGUUCGACUUGUAAAUGUAACAUGGAUGUAUUAUGCUGUUGUCGUGAUCUAAAUAAAAAAAUGAAGAAAGGUGCAUUAGGUGUUUUGCAAAAAAAAAAAGAGAGAAGGAGGUGAACCCUCAUUUCCUAUAUGGGAGUAGGCAAGAGAGAAAGGUCCUUUGCGUUGCUGGUUGGGCAAAGAAAGAAUGCCUCUGUGCACGAAGAGCAGGUCACGUUCUUGUACUACAGAUUCUUCGCUUCUAUUUCGGCUGCUACUAGGCCGUUUUAAAGAAUUCUUGUGGUAGAAUAUUCCUUGGAAGACACUUUACAACUUUUAUAGUAUAACUAAAAUUUUCCACUGGGCCCUGGCGAAUGGUCCUCUUAAAUUUCUGAGGGGCCCAUCAAGGGGUUGUACAAAUUAGAUGAGUUGUUUCUAUGUAAACCUCACAUUGACAAGCUUUGCAAAAAUCUCGGCAAGGCUUGUUAUAUUCUGCUCAAGAGCCGAAAUUGUUUUGAUACAGAAACCCUUCGAGAAAUUUAUUUCAGCUUGUUCCACAGCCAUCUGUGGUACUGUGUUGCAUCUCUGGGCCAUUCAUACAUUGAGCCAUUUAUAAAACUUCAAAAGAGGGCUGUCCACUUUAUGACUUCCUCACAAUACAAUGCUAACACGACACCGCUCUUUCAACACGUACACAUUUUACCGUUUACUUCAUUACUAAAUUUUUAAACUCUUGUAAUGGUUAAUAGUAGCAUCGUUACUGACUACCCACUCUCUGCUACCAACUUUACCGAAUCAGGACGCUGUACACGCAGUGCACUAAAACAAAAUUUUCUGGUUCCAAAGGCUUGUAAUGUGUGUGGUAAACGGAGAAUUUGAAGUGUUGGAGUAGUCGAGAGGAACGUUCAGCCCACGUAAGCUAGAAAUGCAGCUAAUUUUCAGAGAUAAUUAAAACUGCAUUUUCGUGAUCUUCUUUCGUAUGUUUAUUAAUACAUUCACCGCUUCCUUUCUCUUUUUUCUGGUGCAUUUUCCUUUACUUGUAGAUGUUCAAUGAUACCGUUUGCAUUUUGAAGAUUCUUUGUAUUGUAUUCUCUACUUCUUCUAAUGUAAAGUGCAUAUUGUUGCUGAGUUUAAGUACAUGUGUCUGUGCUAAAUAAUUGCUUUGCUUCCUCUACAUUUUUUAUGGAUUGCAACUGGCCUUGAGCUAGGGAUCCCAAUGUAUUUGUUCACAUUAUGUUUUACUCUGUACUGUACGUAAGAAAUAAAGUUUAAUUCAAGGAAA
Molecule: long non-coding RNA, 2964 nt
Organism: Dermacentor silvarum
Lineage: Eukaryota; Metazoa; Arthropoda; Arachnida; Ixodida; Ixodidae
Exons: 2
Source: RefSeq, a predicted model, not a curated record